GCCCCCGUAGCUCAACGGACAGAGUGACGGUCUUCGAAACCGGAGGUUGCAGGUUCGAGUCCUGCCGGGGGCA
This 73-nucleotide transfer RNA is filed under the name Chloroflexota bacterium. RNAcentral's name for it is "Chloroflexi bacterium (anaerobic digester metagenome) tRNA-Arg". It matches the Rfam family "tRNA". Rfam says of the family: Transfer RNA (tRNA) molecules are approximately 80 nucleotides in length. RNAcentral also lists the same sequence under 2 other names. Lineage: Bacteria; Bacillati; Chloroflexota. The record is from RNAcentral.